GUCGCGAUAGCUCAGUGGUAGAGCUAAGGGUUAAGGACCCGAAGUCGCUGGUUCAAAUCCAGCUCGCGGCACCU
Molecule: transfer RNA, 74 nt
Filed under: Candidatus Magasanikbacteria bacterium CG10_big_fil_rev_8_21_14_0_10_43_6
Lineage: Bacteria; Candidatus Magasanikiibacteriota
Description: tRNA-Leu
Rfam family: tRNA
About the family: Transfer RNA (tRNA) molecules are approximately 80 nucleotides in length. Their secondary structure includes four short double-helical elements and three loops (D, anti-codon, and T loops).
Source: RNAcentral